GGAGGGAUGGCCGAGCGGUUUAAGGCGGCGGUCUUGAAAACCGUUGAACGUAACGUUCCGCAGGUUCGAAUCCUGCUCCCUCCGCCA
This 87-nucleotide transfer RNA is filed under the name hydrothermal vent metagenome. RNAcentral's name for it is "tRNA-Ser-TGA". It matches the Rfam family "tRNA". Rfam says of the family: Transfer RNA (tRNA) molecules are approximately 80 nucleotides in length. Their secondary structure includes four short double-helical elements and three loops (D, anti-codon, and T loops). The record is from RNAcentral.